RNAcentral lists this ribosomal RNA (305 nucleotides) under uncultured bacterium. Its description in RNAcentral is "bacterial SSU rRNA". It matches the Rfam family "Bacterial small subunit ribosomal RNA", at positions 338 to 641 of the family's 1533-position model. The record is from RNAcentral.
CCUACGGGGCGCAGCAGUGAGGAAUAUUGGUCAAUGGGAGAGAUCCUGAACCAGCCAAGCCGCGUGAGGGAAGACGGCCCUAUGGGUUGUAAACCUCUUUUGUCGGAGAACAAAACCCGGGACGAGUCCCGGACUGCGUGUAUCCGAAGAAAAAGCAUCGGCUAACUCCGUGCCAGCAGCCGCGGUAAUACGGAGGAUGCGAGCGUUAUCCGGAUUUAUUGGGUUUAAAGGGUGCGUAGGCGGUCUGUUAAGUCAGCGGUAAAAUUGAGGGGCUAAACUCCGUGGAGGCGUUGAAACUGGAAGAA